AUAUUAAAGUUGUUGAGGUUAAAAGCUCGUAGUUGAACCUUGGGCCUAGCCGGCCGGUCCGCCUCACCGCGUGCACUGGCUCGGCUGGGUCUUUCCUUCUGGAGAACCGCAUGCCCUUCACUGGGUGUGCCGGGGAACCAGGACUUUUACUCUGAAUAAAUUAGAUCGCUUAAAGAAGGCCUAUGCUCGAAUACAUUAGCAUGGAAUAAUAGAAUAGGACGUGUGGUUCUAUUUUGUUGGUUUCUAGGACCGCCGUAAUGAUUAAUAGGGACAGUCGGGGGCAUCAGUAUUCAAUUGUCA
This 300-nucleotide ribosomal RNA is filed under the name Ice core clone 105-10. RNAcentral's name for it is "SSU rRNA". It matches the Rfam family "Eukaryotic small subunit ribosomal RNA", at positions 601 to 907 of the family's 1831-position model. The record is from RNAcentral.